Long non-coding RNA from Thunnus maccoyii (southern bluefin tuna), 336 nucleotides. RefSeq lists it as uncharacterized. The transcript has 2 exons. NCBI's taxonomy places the organism in Eukaryota, Metazoa, Chordata, Actinopteri, Scombriformes, Scombridae. The record is from RefSeq and is a predicted model, not a curated record.
UUCUUGUGAUACUAGUCCCCGCCCAAUGCGGUAGCUCGCAAUGUUUCAGAAUCUACGAUUGGACGGCCCGACUGUCAAUCAUAAACGGCCAAUAAAUGAGGGAAGUUUGCUCUGUCUCAACCACCACAUGGGGUCCUGUUCCCUGUCUGUCCUGCCUGCCCUGGUACUCUUCACCUAACACAACACGGAGACCUUGUUGGGGCUCACCGCCUGAAAGAUAGGGUUAUGCAAGCUACUGGUGCACACCAGACACUAUCCCAAACAUCUGGACAACACCCCUUGGAUCUAGUUCUUUUAAAAUUAAAUGAACGUCUUCUUUCCUGACGUGUAAUCCAU